This 62-nucleotide transfer RNA is filed under the name Carcinochelis bannaensis. RNAcentral describes it as "tRNA-His". The record is from RNAcentral. Lineage: Eukaryota; Metazoa; Arthropoda; Insecta; Hemiptera; Phymatidae.
ACUUAAGUAGUUUAUAUAAAAUUGUAAUUUGUGGCAUUGCGGAAGUACUAUUACCUUAGGUU